This 564-nucleotide ribosomal RNA is filed under the name uncultured bacterium. RNAcentral describes it as "partial 16S ribosomal RNA". It matches the Rfam family "Bacterial small subunit ribosomal RNA", at positions 355 to 909 of the family's 1533-position model. The record is from RNAcentral.
UGGGGAAUCUUCCGCAAUGGGCGAAAGCCUGACGGAGCAACGCCGCGUGAGUGAAGACGGCCUUCGGGUUGUAAAGCUCUGUUAUAUGGGACGAACGGGUGUAUGGUCAAUACCCAUACGCCGUGACGGUACCGUAAGAGAAAGCCACGGCUAACUACGUGCCAGCAGCCGCGGUAAUACGUAGGUGGCAAGCGUUGUCCGGAAUCAUUGGGCGUAAAGGGCGCGCAGGCGGUUCGGUAAGUCGGUCUUAAAAGUGCGGGGCUUAACCCCGUGAUGGGAUUGAAACUGCCGGACUGGAGUGCCGGAGAGGAAAGCAGAAUUCCUAGUGUAGCGGUGAAAUGCGUAGAUAUUAGGAGGAAUACCAGUGGCGAAAGCGGCUUUCUGGACGACAACUGACGCUGAGGCGCGAAAGCCAGGGGAGCAAACGGGAUUAGAUACCCCGGUAGUCCUGGCCGUAAACGAUGGAUACUAGGUGUAGGGAGGUAUCGACCCCUUCUGUGCCGGAGUUAACGCAAUAAGUAUCCCGCCUGGGGAGUACGGCCGCAAGGUUGAAACUCUAAAGUG